Puntigrus tetrazona (Sumatra barb) is the source of this 100-nucleotide long non-coding RNA. RefSeq lists it as uncharacterized. The record is from RefSeq and is a predicted model, not a curated record. The transcript has 2 exons. Lineage: Eukaryota; Metazoa; Chordata; Actinopteri; Cypriniformes; Cyprinidae.
CGAUGUAACAAGUUUAUUUAGCAACCCCCCGAAAAGGCAUAAGCUCUUACGGUGAUUUCUGAAGACGAAAGGGAACAGAAAUAAAAGUCUGGAAACAUCA